CCUGGCGGCGAGUGGCGAACGGGUGAGUAAUAUAUCGGAACGUGCCCUGGAGUGGGGGAUAACGCAGCGAAAGUUGCGCUAAUACCGCAUACGAUCUAAGGAUGAAAGCGGGGGAUUCGCAAGAACCUCGUGCUCCUGGAGCGGCCGAUAUCUGAUUAGCUAGUUGGUGGGGUAAAGGCCUACCAAGGCAUCGAUCAGUAGCUGGUCUGAGAGGACGACCAGCCACACUGGAACUGAGACACGGUCCAGACUCCUACGGGAGGCAGCAGUGGGGAAUUUUGGACAAUGGGCGAAAGCCUGAUCCAGCAAUGCCGCGUGAGUGAAGAAGGCCUUCGGGUUGUAAAGCUCUUUUGUCAGGGAAGAAACGGUGGAGGUUAAUACCUUCCGCUAAUGACGGUACCUGAAGAAUAAGCACCGGCUAACUACGUGCCAGCAGCCGCGGUAAUACGUAGGGUGCAAGCGUUAAUCGGAAUUACUGGGCGUAAAGCGGGCGCAGGCGGUUUUGUAAGUCUGUCGUGAAAUCCCCGGGCUCAACCUGGGA
RNAcentral lists this ribosomal RNA (541 nucleotides) under uncultured Oxalobacteraceae bacterium. RNAcentral describes it as "bacterial SSU rRNA". It matches the Rfam family "Bacterial small subunit ribosomal RNA", at positions 84 to 619 of the family's 1533-position model. The record is from RNAcentral. Lineage: Bacteria; Pseudomonadati; Pseudomonadota; Betaproteobacteria; Burkholderiales; Oxalobacteraceae.